CCUGACGAGCAUAGAGAGUUGGUACCACCUGAUUCCAUUCCGAACUCAGUAGUGAAAUGACUCAUCGCCGAUGGUAGUGUGGGAGUUCCCAUGUGAGAGUAGGUCAUUGUCAGGC
RNAcentral lists this ribosomal RNA (115 nucleotides) under Pseudomonadales bacterium. RNAcentral also lists the same sequence under 1 other name. Lineage: Bacteria; Pseudomonadati; Pseudomonadota; Gammaproteobacteria; Pseudomonadales. The record is from RNAcentral.